Molecule: non-coding RNA, 2878 nt
Organism: Camellia sinensis
Lineage: Eukaryota; Viridiplantae; Streptophyta; Magnoliopsida; Ericales; Theaceae
Source: RefSeq, a predicted model, not a curated record
UAACAGUUUAGUGUAUAUUUGUAAAAGAAAAAUUCAAAUUAGUGAUAAAUUUUACUAAUUAAAAUCAUAUACUUUUCGAUGAGUUGUUUGGGAAGAAAACACUGAUUUAUAAAUUCCCCAAAUUAUUUUUAUUGUUAUCCCUCAGUUUCUCUCUCCAAAACUUAUCAAGCUGUGCUCAACCAUGGAGACAAAGUGUGUUGUAAUUUCCACAAUUUGACGUGGAUCAUUGCGCCUGUGUUUGGGAGGGGAUGUAUCACUUUAGAUCCCUAAGAGGAAAAUACAAUUUAUUUUGAUAGGCACAACUUCCAUCACAAUCAAAUAUUCAUCCCGCUUUAGAGGUAAACAAUUUCUUGUUCAUUUCUUAAUCUUAGACUUAUAUUUUCUAAUGAAGGAGAGGAAUCAACUUUGAACAAGAUAUUGUUUCCACUGAAGUUUCUAUUUUACCAAGUCAGUGAUCCUUGUCGAUUAUAUCGAUACAAUAUAUAUAAACCAUGGAUGAGUUGUGAAUAGUAUUUUCAGCCAAAGUAUGAACCGUGUUUUCAUUCUUUCUUAUUUCUUUAUUUACUUCCUUCUUUUUCUUUUUUCCAUUUUGAAGGAUCGUGUUGUUGUUUUGGUAUUUUGCUUCAUUAUGUUCAGGUAAUAAAGGUUUCAAUUGUUAUGUUAUUAUUUCCUUUACAUAUUCCUUUAUUUGUUUAUUUUUGUUUUUUGUUGGUAGUUUAAAAUAUUUAUUGGACAAGAGUUUCGUUUUCUAUUUUUUUAUUUCUCUUUUGUUCUCCGUUUGUGGAAGUAUUAAUUUUGUAUAUCAUUUGAAGUUAAGCUUACAUCAUUUUAGGAAGGUUUAGUGACUAUCAUUUUUCUUUGUUUUGAUUGUUACUUAUUGCAGUAUUUUGAGGUUUAUUUGUUUUGAUUUUUGUUUAUUUUAGUAGUUUUAGGUUUUAGUUUUAUUUUUUUCUAUUUUUUGUUUAUUGUAGUAGUUUUUUUUUUAAUAGUAAUUUUUGGUUCAGUGAAAUCCCUAACCUACUGAAAUAUUAUGUAGUAGACAAACCUGUUUUUUUUUUUUUUUUUAACUAGGAUGUUUUAUUAUAGGGUAAAUUACAUUUACCUCCCCUGAGGUUUCUGACAAAUACAGAGACCUCUCUUGUGAUUUGAAUAAUUACAAUAACCUCUCCUACUUUACCUGACAAUACCAAGAUUUCCCCAAUCUGUCAAUUUUGCUCAAACGACGUUAUUUGCUUAUACAAAAUGACCAUAUUACCCAUUUACUUGAGCACAAAAAGACAAAAAUACCCUUCAAUAUUUUUUUAACCCAAUAAUUUAUAUUGAUCCUUUCCCUUCUUCCAUUUACCAAUCUAAACCCUCUGAAGAAAUAAGAGAGAAAGAGAGAGAGAGAGAGAAGCUCUUCUUCACCAGUGCCCCUUCUCUCCACCGUCUACCACUGCCGUCUUUCCUUUUCCUCCUCUUCUUCUCCCUCCACUCCCUUUCCGUUGUCCAUCGCUUACGGAUUUGGGUUGACCGAUGAUGGCAGCAGCGUUGACCGAUCUGGGUUUGUGACGGUUGGUUGCGAUCUUGGUCACGAUUGAAAGAAGAAAAAAAAAAGAAGAAGGAGAGGAAGAGAGACGGGAGACGAACGACGGGAGAAUGAAAUGGGGAAGAUGGCAUCAAUUGAUAAAAAUGGAGCAUUAUCUCUUUUUGAUUGCAAGGAUGACAAUGGUGGGCCUAAGAUUGGGAUAGUGUUGAAGAAACAGGAAAUAUAAGUUUUGCACACCAAGCAUUUUGGUAGUGAUUGAUAGAUGCAAAAGUUCAUAAAUCUUGCUGACUUGCUUUCUAUUCCUUUUUUCUUCUUUGAAACCAGAUUUCAUUGAUUUUUGUUUAAACCAUACUUUUUUCUUCUCUUGCCUUCUCAACCAUUGAUUUUUGUUUAAUCCAUACAGUUCCAUUGUUACAAUAGAACAGAUUUAUGAGCUUUAUUUAUUGUUGCUUGUAAUGAAAAAGGAACUGAACAUGAUUGGCUUUAUUCUUUUGGAUUCGUUUUCAUUAAUUUUCAUUUUCUUUGGCAUGAUGGUUCACAAUACAUUAUAGAUGCCAAAAUCUGGACCAACUGAAACCCAAUUUCAUUAUUGGGUUGCGGUAGAUAUGGACCAUAGUUCUUUGAAAUCUAUUGGGUUAUUUCUAAUCUUUGAACAAUGAAUCUGUUUGAGAAGCAUUUUAUUUGAAUUUUACUUUUAUUGCCUGUGUAGCAUGCAUUCUUUGAUUUUAUUUUAUUUUUUAAAAAUUAAUUUAGUUUAUUUUUUAUUUUUCAUGUUAAAUCUGGAUGGCCUAAUAAUAUGAAUUUACAAAUUUGUAUGUAUAUGCUAAGGCCAUUCUAGUUGUUUCUGUUUGCUGCAUAUUAUAGUUCCCAAAUAUUAUGAAUUGUUACUUCUGCGCAGAGACAAAUCAUGCUAUUAUGAAGUCUACUAGUUCUUACAAUUUUUGUAUAAAUUUAAUGUUGUGUUUGGAAUGGAUAAUAAGGAGAUGGAAGUGGUAAAGAUUAGAGAGAGAGAGAGAGAUGUGAUGACAGUAAUGCUACCAGUGGAGGAGUGGGAGAGAAGGGAAAAGAAGAAGAGCAAUGUUUGUUUGUGAUGUUGUGGGUUGUUUGGUUACAAGGAACAAAGGGUAAUUUUGGUAUUCAGUCACCAUAAUAUGCUGAUGUAAGAAAUUUUCAUCACCUGUCUAACGACUAGUUAAUAGAAGGGUGGUUUGUAUAUAUUGUCAGGUAAAGUAGGGGAGUCACUGUAAUUAUUCAAACCACAGGGGAGGUCCCUGUAUUUGUUAGAAACUUCAAGGGAGGUAAAUGUAAUUUACCCUUUAUUAUACCUAUGAGAUUAUACGUAUUUGAUUA